RNAcentral lists this ribosomal RNA (592 nucleotides) under Hanseniaspora uvarum. RNAcentral describes it as "eukaryotic LSU rRNA". It matches the Rfam family "Eukaryotic large subunit ribosomal RNA", at positions 50 to 656 of the family's 3401-position model. The record is from RNAcentral. Lineage: Eukaryota; Fungi; Ascomycota; Saccharomycetes; Saccharomycodales; Saccharomycodaceae.
GCGGAGGAAAAGAAACCAACUGGGAUUACCUUAGUAACGGCGAGUGAAGCGGUAAAAGCUCAAAUUUGAAAUCUGGUACUUUCAGUGCCCGAGUUGUAAUUUGUAGAAUUUGUCUUUGAUUAGGUCCUUGUCUAUGUUCCUUGGAACAGGACGUCAUAGAGGGUGAGAAUCCCGUUUGGCGAGGAUACCUUUUCUCUGUAAGACUUUUUCGAAGAGUCGAGUUGUUUGGGAAUGCAGCUCAAAGUGGGUGGUAAAUUCCAUCUAAAGCUAAAUAUUGGCGAGAGACCGAUAGCGAACAAGUACAGUGAUGGAAAGAUGAAAAGAACUUUGAAAAGAGAGUGAAAAAGUACGUGAAAUUGUUGAAAGGGAAGGGCAUUUGAUCAGACAUGGUGUUUUUUGCAUGCACUCGCCUCUCGUGGGCUUGGGCCUCUCAAAAAUUUCACUGGGCCAACAUCAAUUCUGGCAGCAGGAUAAAUCAUUAAGAAUGUAGCUACUUCGGUAGUGUUAUAGCUUUUUGGAAUACUGUUAGCCGGGAUUGAGGACUGCGCUUCGGCAAGGAUGUUGGCAUAAUGGUUAAAUGCCGCCCGUCUUA